AGGACGAACGCUGGCGGCGUGCUUAACACAUGCAAGUCGAACGGGGAUCAUCGGGCGGAAGGCUUCGGCCGGAAGGCUGGUGAUUCCAGUGGCGGACGGGUGAGUAACGCGUGAACAAUCUGUCCCAGACAGGGGGAUAACACUUGGAAACAGGUGCUAAUACCGCAUGAGACCACGGUGUCGCAUGGCACAGGGGUAAAAGGAGCGAUCCGGUUUGGGGUGAGUUCGCGUCCGAUUAGCCAGUUGGCGGGGUAACGGCCCACCAAAGCGACGAUCGGUAGCCGACCUGAGAGGGUGAUCGGCCACAUUGGAACUGAGAGACGGUCCAAACUCCUACGGGAGGCAGCAGUGGGGAAUAUUGGGCAAUGGGCGAAAGCCUGACCCAGCAACGCCGCGUGAGUGAAGAAGGCCUUCGGGUUGUAAAGCUCUGUUAUAGGGGACGAAGUGCGUGACGGUACCCUAUAAGGAAGCCCCGGCUAACUACGUGCCAGCAGCCGC
This 498-nucleotide ribosomal RNA is filed under the name uncultured bacterium. RNAcentral describes it as "bacterial SSU rRNA". It matches the Rfam family "Bacterial small subunit ribosomal RNA", at positions 26 to 518 of the family's 1533-position model. The record is from RNAcentral.